UACAGAGGUCCCAAGCGUUGUUCGGAUUCAUUGGGCGUAAAGGGUGCGUAGGCGGCGGGGUAAGUCAGGUGUGAAAUCCCGGAGCUCAACUCCGGAACUGCACUUGAUACUGCCUUGCUCGAGUACUGGAGAGGAGACUGGAAUUUACGGUGUAGCAGUGAAAUGCGUAGAUAUCGUAAGGAAGACCAGUGGCGAAGGCGAGUCUCUGGACAGUUACUGACGCUGAGGCACGAAGGUCAGGGGAGCAAACGGG
Molecule: ribosomal RNA, 253 nt
Filed under: uncultured bacterium
Lineage: Bacteria
Description: partial 16S ribosomal RNA
Rfam family: Bacterial small subunit ribosomal RNA
Source: RNAcentral